AGAGUUUGAUCCUGGCUCAGAACGAACGUUGGCGGCGUGGAUGAGGCAUGCAAGUCGAGCGUGAAAGCCCCUUCGGGGGUGAGUAGAGCGGCGGACGGGUGAGUAACACGUGGUCAAGCUACCCCCAAGACUGGGAUAACCAGGGGAAACCCUGGCUAAUACCGGAUGGCCCUGCAGGAUCGCAUGAUCCUGUGAGUAAAUGGUUGGGAUCCUUCGGGACCUUCUGCUUGGGGAUGUGAUCGCGGCCUAUCAGCUUGUUGGUGGGGUAACGGCCUACCAAGGCGAUGACGGGUAGCAGGCCUGAGAGGGUGGUCUGUCACACUGGGACUAAGACACGGCCCAGACUCCUACGGGAGGCAGCAGUGGGGAAUAUUGCACAAUGGGCGAAAGCCUGAUCCAGCAAUGCCACGUGUGUGAAGAAGGCCUGCGGGUUGUAAAGCACUUUCAGUAGGGAAGAAAUGCCCAAGGUUAAUACCCUUGAGUCUUGACGUUACCUACAGAAGAAGCACCGCUAACU
RNAcentral lists this ribosomal RNA (517 nucleotides) under uncultured bacterium. RNAcentral's name for it is "bacterial SSU rRNA". It matches the Rfam family "Bacterial small subunit ribosomal RNA", at positions 8 to 502 of the family's 1533-position model. The record is from RNAcentral.